This 254-nucleotide ribosomal RNA is filed under the name uncultured bacterium. RNAcentral's name for it is "partial 16S ribosomal RNA". It matches the Rfam family "Bacterial small subunit ribosomal RNA", at positions 524 to 776 of the family's 1533-position model. The record is from RNAcentral.
CACGUAGGGUGCGAGCGUUGUCCGGAAUUAUUGGGCGUAAAGAGCUCGUAGGCGGUGUGUCGCGUCGGCCGUGAAAACCUGCAGCUUAACUGUGGGCUUGCGGUCGAUACGGGCAUCACUGGAGUUCGGCAGGGGAGACUGGAAUUCCUGGUGUAGCGGUGAAAUGCGCAGAUAUCAGGAGGAACACCAGUGGCGAAGGCGACACGCUGGGCCGUACCUGACACUGAUGCGCGACAGCAUGGGGAGCAAACAGG